UCGAAUAUAUUUAAAAGGUAUAGCCGCGCGGCUAUACUAUUUAAAUAUUCAAAUUUAUUCAAAGCGUAUAGCCGACCGGCUAUACUAUUUAAAUAUUCAAAU
This 102-nucleotide microRNA precursor is filed under the name Prunus dulcis (almond). RNAcentral's name for it is "sRNA ncRNA". Lineage: Eukaryota; Viridiplantae; Streptophyta; Magnoliopsida; Rosales; Rosaceae. The record is from RNAcentral.